Molecule: ribosomal RNA, 742 nt
Filed under: uncultured bacterium
Lineage: Bacteria
Description: bacterial SSU rRNA
Rfam family: Bacterial small subunit ribosomal RNA
Source: RNAcentral
AGUCGAACGGAAGUCGUUAUAAAAAGGAUUGAAGAUUUAUCUGAUUGAGAUUUUAUAACAAUGGCUUUAGUGGCGGACUGGUGAGUAACGCGUGAGCAACCUGCCUACUAGAGGGGAAUAACAGUGAGAAAUCAUUGCUAAUACCGCAUAUGCCAUGAACAUCACAUGAUGAAAAUGGGAAAAGAGUAAUCUGCUAGUAGAUGGGCUCGCGUCUGAUUAGAUAGUUGGUGGGGUAACGGCCUACCAAGUCAACGAUCAGUAGCCGGACUGAGAGGUUGAACGGCCACAUUGGGACUGAGAUACGGCCCAGACUCCUACGGGAGGCAGCAGUCGGGAAUAUUGCGCAAUGGAGGAAACUCUGACGCAGUGACGCCGCGUAUAGGAAGAAGGUUUUCGGAUUGUAAACUAUUGUCGUUAGGGAAGAUAAAAGACAGUACCUAAGGAGGAAGCUCCGGCUAACUACGUGCCAGCAGCCGCGGUAAUACGUAGGGAGCAAGCGUUAUCCGGAUUUAUUGGGUGUAAAGGGUGCGUAGACGGGACAACAAGUUAGUUGUGAAAUCCCUUGGCUUAACUGAGGAACUGCAACUAAAACUAUUGUUCUUGAGUGUUGGAGAGGAAAGUGGAAUUCCUAGUGUAGCGGUGAAAUGCGUAGAUAUUAGGAGGAACACCGGUGGCGAAGGCGACUUUCUGGACAAUAACUGACGUUGAGGCACGAAAGUGUGGGGAGCAAACAGGAUUAGAU